This 528-nucleotide unclassified non-coding RNA is filed under the name Hevea brasiliensis (rubber tree). The record is from RNAcentral. Lineage: Eukaryota; Viridiplantae; Streptophyta; Magnoliopsida; Malpighiales; Euphorbiaceae.
GGAAGAUCUUAUUCUCAUUAUCAAGAAUUAAUAUUAAUUAGUUUCUUCCUAUUUAAAGCAAAUUUCAUUAAUGAUUUCUUAAUGAUGUUGUUUACGCAUUAGAAACACGUAAAAUUGCACUUGCUAGUCACUUACUCUUCCUGACAGUCAACCAGAACUGGAGCUUUUCAUGAGCCAAGCCAAUGGAAACUGUGAUACGUAAAUGUGCAUCUCUCCCGUCAAGUUAGCAUUGGAAUAUAUGGCAUUGGAUAAGGUCAGCCAGCCGACUUUUUGCCUAGACUGCCAGUUGGCAUCGUGCCCAUUUAAGCUUAGAGAAAUCACGUCGUACCGUCGCGCUUUUUUAUUUUUGGAGCGUGGCUUGCGCGUGUUCAUGAGUAGGAUUGCCAGAUAGGAUUUGGAGCGUGCAAGCACGGAUUAAUAACACGUGACCCUGGCCUUUGAGCUCCAGGAGGCAUGGCCUAUGUUAAUUGUGAACAGCUAAUAAUUUUUAUAUUGCUGUAUGGCCACUAAUGGAUUUCAACUCAAUGU